UCAAGACCUAGAAACCUAAGGACCUAGUAGAUUAAUGGAGUCUAUUUGAAAGCACAAUUCAUUUCUCAGUCUUUUAAAUUCUUUUUUUGUUUUAGUUUGUUUCAUUUUUUGAUACCAGAGAUUGAACCCUGGGGCACUUAACCACUUAACAUCCUCAGCCCUUUUUGUUUCUUAUUUUGAGACAGGGUCUUGCUUAGUUGCUGAGCCUGGACUCAAACUUACCAUCCUCCUGUCUCAGCCUCCCAGGCCACUGGGAUUACAUGUGUGCAUCACCAUGCCCAGGUUGCAUUAUUCUUUUUCUCAUUUAAAAUAUUCAAUGAGACUUUUCCCUGGACUAAGUUUUCCAAAUGGCUACAUUAUUGAGAAUUUUGACUCAAGCAUAAUGACUUAGAUAUGGGAGAAAGUACAAGUGGAUAGGGUUGGCCUCAGCAUUGUCAAGUUAUGGGGAUGGUGAUCUCCUUCCAGGGAUGAGGUUCUGUGAGGUCUCUCAGUGAGUGGAAGGCAGGUGGCAUUGCCAAGGCUCCCUCCCCAACUUCAGUCAUCUUCCAUGUGAGGAAAUAAAUGGUAAGGUACCUCCCAUAGCAGGGUCCUCUGGCCCCAGUCAGUUUACCUGCCAGGAAGGACUCAUCAGGGUAAGAAGCUCAAAAAAACAAAACAAAACAAACAAACAAACAAACAAAACAAAAACAAAACAAAACAAAAUAAAAGUAAAAAGUAAAAAACUUAAAAAGCACAGUCAAUCCCAGCCCAACACCAGGAGCUGGUCUGAAGAGUCUGGUUAUCCACAUCCAACUAUUUCUCCAGUUAAGGCAGUUGUGCCAAACACGUUCUAUUUGCCUUCUCUAGAAGCCUUCAGCACUAAAUGUGUUGGUAUUUCCACCUGAGAAAGAAUUUAAUUGCGAAAAUGAGUAGAAUGGAGACCAAGAGGAAAAAUACUGUUAGAAAUAAAAUUCCCACGGGGGUAAUUCCACAGGACAGCCGGACAUCAGACAGUUGAACUCCCUUUAGUGAUGGGGGAUUUGCACACACAGUCUCCUCCAAGUCCUCAAGUUUUUGCAGGUUUUCUUUGUACCAUGUUAAAAAGUGAAUAUUUGAGCACGUGCAGUCCAGGGGAUUGUGACUUAAAUUAAUAGUGCUCUGCUGGGACAAGAUGGAGAGGAGAUGGGGUGAGAUAAUGCCAAUGGCAUUAGCCGCCAAAUUGAGGUAGAUCCCCUUAAGAUGGCUAAGAGCAUCAAUGCUAUUUGAUGUCAGAUUAUUGUGACUUAAGUCUACGUGACUCAUUUUAUCAAGGCUGUGGAAAGCCUGCUGGUCUAUGGACAAGAGGUCACUGGAGGAUAAAACCAGAAUCUCCAAGCUUCCCACUGUCUGAAGUAGGUUGUUCUUCGGGAUACUCCCAUCUUGAAAACGAUUCCCCUGCAAGUUCAGAUGCCGAAGGUCUGGCAGGCCUGCUAGAAGAAGCUGAUUGCUGGUAUCAAGGAAGCUAUGAGAGAGAUUCAGAAUCUUCAGGUGAUGAAGGUUUUGGAAAGGACUUUGUGGUGCACUCACAUGUAAGUGGGUAAAUGACAAAUCCAAGAUCUCUAGCUGAGGACAUGCUUGGAACGCCUCCCUCUGAAAACCAAUGAGCUCAUUGUAGCUCAGGUUUAGACUUUGCAAGUGGGGAAGAUUUUUGAGCUGCAGAUUGCAGCAAUCAGAAGCUUCUAUGCCGCUAUGGCUUAAAUCAAGUUUCUGAAGAUUCUCUAGUUUUUCUAAACAGCCAGUACCGAGGUGAAGCUUCUUCAUGUUGCCUUUGAUAUAGAGGUGUGUAAGGGAGGGGAAAUUGGCAGCAUUGAUUUGACACAAUUGGUCAAAUUUAUUUACAUUGAGAACUAAUUUCUUGAGUGAGUUCAUACCCUCAAUCCCAGAGGGUAAUUCUUGCAGGUGAGUGGCCGUUAGAUCCAGAUUCUGGAGUUGGGCAAAGCAUCGAAACGUGGUGGAGGAGAAGUCAGAGAAAUGAUGCUUUUGCAGGUUGAUGCUCUCAACAGAUGUGUCACAAAGACCCUGAAAUGUGGCUGAACUUAGAUAUUGGUUAUCAAUGUCCUCAAAUGUCCCCAACCAGAGAGAUUGAAUAGUAGAGUUCCGUAGACCACUGAAUAUGACAGACAAGUCACGAGUCCCUCCAAAGUUCAAGCUUUGGAAGAAUUGUGAACUGAAAGCCCCAGGCUCAAUACCUUUAAUGUCAUUGCUAUUGAAGUUAAGACUUAGGUUGGUGGCCUGCUUCAGAGAGUUCAUAUCUUCUCUAGAAAGGUAGUGUAUAGCAUUAUUCUGAAAAUCCAGGACUUUCAGAUUCCCUGCUGGGAAAUCAUUUGGGAGCUUAAUGGAAGAAAUAUGGUUGCUCCCCAGAUGCAAACUUUCCAAGUUUUCCAGAUUGUGAGGUGGGAUAAACUCAAGACUGGAUAUUCCUGUUUGAAUUAAGAACAAAUGCUUCAGCGACUUGGGCCCGUUAAAUGCUGUUUCUGCCAUAAAUAUCAGAGGGUUUCCAGUUAAUAUCAGUGUGCUCAACUGAUGAUGGCUUUGAAAAGUGUCAUCAUGUAUCCAGUUAAUCUGGCACCUUGAAAAGAUAAUUGUAUUUAACAAUGAUUAAUUAGAAAAAAAAAGGGAAAAUGCUGUCACCACAUUCCCAAAGCCAUCUUUUGUAUACCAUAAAACACUAUAUGUUAUCCAACACAAAAAACUUUCUUCCAUACCCACAGAUGGUCUGUCAAGAUAAUUAAUGAAUAGCCCUAGUACUGAAAGCUCUGAUUUGGAAUUUAUUCCAGAUGUCUGUCUUUCCUAUUUAGAUAGAACACUCAGAGGUUUAUAUUUGUAUUCUAAGGAACAAUUAGUGGUUUGAUUUUUUUUGUAGGCAAAACCAAACUGUGAUUUAUUAUAUUAAGUAAUAUAAAAUAUGCCAUAUGUAAUGUAUAAUAGAUAAUACAUGGUAUGUAUUUAUCCUUGGCAUCCUUGGCAAGUUAAAGCCUAUUUGGGGGGAAGAAAGAGUUGCUGGGGAUUGAGCGUAUGCCCUUACACAUGCUAGGCAUGUGCUACAUGCCACACUCAGCCUUCCUCUUUCAUCUAUGAAAUACAAAAAUAAUGACUAUUUUGUAGAAUUAUUGUAUGUCAAAUGAUGUAUGUAAAAAUGCUCCAUUGAACUACAGAAUGCUAGAAGUUAAGAGAAAUCCAUCCUGGUACUGCAUCUUAAAGUACUGGAUUAAACACACACACUUACACACACACACACACACACACACACACACUGAUAGUUUCUGCAUCUAACUGCAGAAAUGGGUGGUAAUAUUAAUUGGCACCCCACAGAGGUGAUUGUAAAGAUGAAACAGUGCUAUGGGUGUGUGCUUUCUUCCACUUUGCAGAAACUCAAGUGGAAAGACACAAGUGGAAGUCAUUGAACUACUGCAAGAGGUACAGAAGUCAUGAACAUGUGGGGUCCCUUCCCCCACUCCACACACACACACACACACACACACAAGCUGCACAUCCCUUCUGUUUUCCUCCCAUACUUUCUUGUAAUACUUUUGUCCACUGGUUCUCAAACAUUUGUUCAGGAUAUGGAAUCCUGAUUCUGCCUCUAAAGCCAAAUAAUGGAACUCUUUUUUCAAUUUAAAAAAAAAAAAGAAUUAGUAGGUAUGUGUGUUUCUCAUAACUUUUGUUACAUGCGAUUCACCUAAUAGUAGUCAACUGUGUUAAAAUAUAGUAUAAUAUGGUGUCUGAUUCAGUGCAGAAUUUAUUUUCACUUUUUUUUAAUAUUCCUUAGAAAUUCUUCAAUGGUACUGCUGAUGCAGCUAGUUUGAAAACAACUCACUUUCCUGUCCAUUGAUUGUUGUUUAUUUAAAUUACACUUCACUUGCAUUAAAGUAUUUCAGAUGAAGGAGUAAAUGAAAAUACAGAAUAAGCAGAGUGUCCCUGUGCCCCAAAAGAAGAUCCUGGGGACAAUUCAAAUGCAAAUUUUGUUUCUUCUUAAGUAAAACAUCAAGAGUACACAGGAACUCAGAUACAUACCUGGUUAAAUCCAAAAAAGUAAGAUCUAUGAGUCUGCUGAAAGUUGUAUUUUGAAUUGUAGGCAAGAAAUUAAAGCUGAAUUCCAAAAAUUCUGUUGUGUUUGGUAGGGUGUCAGGAAUUUCACUGAGACCUAAAUUUUCACAGUUAUAUGUUUUGUUGGCUUCUUUCUGAUGGGAGAAAUAAUGGAAAUUAAUAUAGGAUUUAGAGAUUUGAUUGACUAUCUAGAAAAAUUAGACACAUUUUACCCUUUGAGCAGCAAUCCCACUUUUAGUAAUCCUUACCAAAUAUGUUCUUGCAAAAACACAACAUGAGGGCCUGGGGUUGUGGCUCAGUGGUAGAGUGCUUGCCUAGUGUGUGUGAGGUACUGGGUUUGAUUCUCAGCACAGCAUAAAAAUAAAUAAAUUAAUUAAUUAAAGGUAUUGUGUCCAACUACAACUAAAAAAAAUAUUAAAAAACAACAUGAUUUGUCCAUGAUAUUAUUCAUUAUAUAUAUAUAUAUAUAUAUAUAUAUAUAUAUAUAUAUAUAUAUAUAUAUUUGUAAUAGCAAAACCAGGCUAUCUAUCAAUGUGGAAAUAAUUGACCAAAAUGGAAACCUCAGCAACAAUGAGAAAGAUCUGCAUAAAUUGGUAGGGAGUGAGAUCCAGGAUAUGAUGUAAGGUGAAAAAACAAAGCGUCUAACAGUGUAUGCAGUGUAUAUAGCAUAGAGUAUGCUAGGUUUUCAUAACAAGGAUACUUGAGCUGGGCUCAAUGGUGCAUGCCUGUAAUUCCAGUGGCUUGGGAGACUGAGGCAAGAGGAUCCUGAGUUCAAAGCCAGCCUCAGCUUCUUAGUGAGCCCCUAAAGCAACUUAACAAGACCCUAUCUCUAAAUAAGUGCUAGGAAUGUGGCUCAGUGGGAAAGUGCCCCUGGGUUAAAUCCCUGGUACCAAAAAAUAUAUAUUAUCAUAUUUUCUAAAAGAAACUAUGGCUAAAAAAUUCAGUGAUCUUUAAGAGGACAGAAAGUACCCGAUAGAGGAGUAAAAAUAUAAAUAAGAUUCCUCUGAUUAUACUUUGGUUAGUUUUGAUUUGGAGUAAAUAGAAGUGUUUGUUUCAUCUUGAAAAUAAGCAAAUAAUAUUAAAUUGGCAUCAGAAAAAUAGGACAAUGAGACAUUAUUCACUUUCUGACAUAGUACAAUAUGAAGUACACAGAGCCACCUAUGAAGUAUUCUUGCCAAAAAGAAAGUAAUUAACUUGAAUUCAAUGAAGAUCUUAGGUCUACUUUUCACAUCUACAAGUGAUAUGACAGAUUUAAGCUAAUGGUAGCAGUUAAUCAAAUGCAAAAAGUUGCACAUAAUAUAAAACAUCUUUGUUUUAUUAGUAUGUGAAAGAGAGAGAAAGAAAGAGAAGGGAGACAGCUUUAAAAAAAACACAAAGUGGUACAAAAGCUACUUAAGAAAUACAACUAACAAAUAACAGACUAGGCUUUGUUUAGAUUAUGACUCAAGUAGAACAGUUAGAAAAAGACAUUUUUAGAUAAACAGAGGCAUUUAAAUGAGAUAGAAUUUGAUGGUAUUAAGAAAUAAUGAAUUAGCAUCUGCAUAUGAGAGAAAACAUAACAGGCUUUUGUUUUUUGAGAUUGGCUUAUUUUGCUUAGCAUGAUAUUCUCCAACUCCAUCCAUUUACUGGCAAAUGCCAUAAUUUCUCUCUUCUUUAAAGCUGAGUAAUAUUCCAAUAAAAAAAGAAAUUAUGAAUUUUGUUAAUGUUAGAGGCCUUAUGGUUAUAUACAAUCAAUAUUCCUUUUUUUUUUCUUUUGAGAUGCAUAUUUAAGUAUUUAGAUUUAAAAUGAUGUGAUGUUUGGAAUUUGCUUAAAAAUACCCGGCAAAAAAUGAUAGGAGGAAUGGACAGAUAAAAAUUAGUAAGUAAAAUGGUGAUGUUUGCUGGAUGUGGAGUGAUAUUUAUGUGGAGGUUGCUUAUCCAAAAUUUAAAAAUCUUAACCUAACUAGGUAAAAGUUGGAAACAGUUAUGAUGAUGUAAUCAUAAUUAAUCUGGAUGACACUUCAGCAUGAAGAGUAAGGGGGCACCUAGGAAGGGGCAUGUCUUUCCUGUAGAAGCUUCCUAGGUAAGAAAGAAAUGAUCUCCAGGACACAUGCCCCUUGGAGGCCCCAAGAGAUGGGUACCAAGGACCAUGAACCAGCUCUUAGAUGUCUCAGGCCCCAGGUGACUUCAUCCAUCCUUCUUGUCCUUGCCUCUCCUGAUCAUACCUAGGCUUCUUAGAGGCUCCUCUGAGCCCUGACUGCAAAAGAUCUAUCCCACCAAACUCCAGAUCAGCUGCUCUCCAGAUCAGUUGCAAAGAGACCUGCUUAGCUGGAAACAGAACUGGAAGUGUUCUUCUUUUCCCUGAAUCAUGAGGCUCAGGAUGUUGCCAUUUUAAUCUUUUUUUUUUUUUUUUUGCUUUUCUCCAAUUUCUGCUUAGUUGUGCAUUUUUUAUAGCAACAGUGAGCAUGUACAUCUAUAAGAAAUCACUAGUUUCCUUCAAUAUUGUGACAAUAUCAUAGUUGUCACUGAUGAAAAUGCCAUAUUUAUAUUUCCUUGUAAUUCAUUCUUCAUUCUUAUAGACCCAAAGUCCUCUAGGCACUGCUGCAAAUCUAUAUAAUGUCCUUGAAAUGCACAGUUUGCAUUGGAAACUUGGAUUUAACUGACUGGUGAGGAAAAAAAAUAUUUUAUUUUGCUAUACUGUCCUUGGUGGCCAGACAACCCAGAAAGUAUGUGUAUGUGCAGCUGCAGUCCCUAUAGUUGCCAUGGUGCUGAUCAGCUUGAAGGAGACAAUUUUCUUUUCUGGUCUCCAUUGGCAUAACUGAUUUCAUGUACGCUUGGAGAAAGGGGACUUCCCCCAAUUCGUCUUGCUCUAUUCUGACCCUACAGCAAAAGUCUCAAUGCUGGCAAUUCCUUCCUUCUACUGAAUAUGCAAGUGCCCCGUGACACCUAAAUUAUUCCAUGUCUCAGCCUCUUGUGUGCUUUAGUAAGUACUUUAUUGAAAUAAUGUGAUUCAGAAAAUUGAGAAUCCAGGAGGACCUCUACUGAGCCAGUGGCCUGAGGGAACAACUAGGAAAAGGAAAAGUUAGUAAAUGAAAAGAUCUCUUUUACCUAGCAGAGAGCUAGGGCCCAAGGGUUACCAGCAGCCUGCCCAAAGCUUGUGCUUUGUAAUCUCAAGUUAGGUGGAAAUGGCAAUAAACUCUCUGCCCUUGAUUGUCAGGAGAAAGAGGAAGUGACAAGAGAUGCAGCUAAGAGAAUUUAAAAACCAAACAGAUUUUCGGAAAUGUCUUGGACUCAACACACACGUGGCCCUCCCUUACAGUUUGUGUAAUCACAAUUAUACUGUCAAUAUUGGUAUGAUGAUGGGAUACCAAAGCACCACACACUCCAGAAUCAUCCAAGAAGCAUUCAAUUAUAUUUAGUAGACUGUCUUUUUUAAGGUUGAAAGUGCAUGUGUGUGUGUGCCCCUUGAUUUUGAACAGGGGUGGGCAUGGGACAGUUGUCAUGAAUACCAGGCAGCUUUACUACAGCUCUGCUGUUGCUAGCAUAAUGAGACUAUUAGUCUCAUUCUUUAUGAAUGGGAGUAAGAUAGCAUGAACUUUCACCCCUAAAUAUCUUAUAUGUCUUAAGGAUAUAUAAUCACAAUGCUAUUAUCAAAUUCAGAAUAUUUAAUAUUUAAUGCUGAUUCAAUGUUACUACCAACAUAGUCUAUAUUCAAAUUUUGCUACUUGUCUCAACAUUGUCCUUUACAGUAAUUUUUGUUUUUCCAACCCAGGAUCAUAUACUGAUUACAUUUCGUUGUCAUAGCUCCUUAGAUUCCUUUAAUUUGAGACAAUUCUUUAGCCUGUCAUCAUGUGUUAUGACACUGGUAUCUUCUGAAGAAUACAGCCUCAUAUCUAGCAGAAUGUUUCUCAUUAUGGGUUCAUAUGUUUCCUCAUAAUUGACUCAGGUUAUACAUUUUUUUUUUGGUAAAAAUACUAUAUCAGUCAUGUUGUGUCUUUCUCCCAGUCAAGAUUCAGAUCAAAACUUUCAGAAAGUUCUGAUAGAUCAGCACAGGGUUGCAGAACAGCAGAGUUACAAUUCUUCAGUGAAUGAAGACAGGAUGCAGAAAAGGAACAGACAGCUUGGUCACUGCCAGCACUACAUGCUUUAUUUUUAUAUCCAGACAGACACAACCCACACUGUAGUUUCCCUGAGAUCCACAUGUCCACUUCCCACAAGCCCAGUCUUGUCUUUCUAUAAUUCAGUAGAUGGUCAGUUUCCAAAGUUGCUUUCUUAUUCCUCUAAUGUGGCUGGUGGCAAUUGCAGACAGGAUCCUUCUGACAUAACUCUGGUAAAGCUGCCUGGUAUUCAUGACAACUGUUCUAUGCCCACCCCUAUUCAAAAUCAACGGGCAUUUGCUUAGGACUCACUGUACCCUGGGACCUGUGCCAAUCAUUUUGUCUCCAGCUUGGUCUCAGAGCUGUGCCUUUUACCCAGAUCAAGGCUCCCAAGUGCUACAUUUAUAUUUGCAAUCCCUUUUCCCUGCAGGUAUUCAUUUGCAUUUUUUCAAUCAGGAUCUUAUUUUGCUUCUUUCUGCAAUGUAUCUCUAACUCCCUCCCAUCCCACUGUAUUUUCUCUCCUUGCAAGUGUGGAAGCAUUUUCUAAUUUGGAACGCUUUGAAUUCCACUCAAGUGCUUAUUCCCACCUUUUCAGGCGUCUCAUCUGCACUUGACACAUGCAUGCACAAGGAGUCUGGGACACUGCCCCCCAACCCUCCCUCUUUAAUCACACCUCUAUCCAAGAGAGAGCAAUUUGGCUAGUAAGAUGAAUCUUAGAGCAAUGAUUACUCUCUGAAAACAAAAUAAAACAAACACCCCCAAGAAGGCACAUCCCUAAAACUUUGGGCAUUCCAAUUAUAUGUUUGUCUGUUUGUUUGUUUGUUUAUUUAUUUAUUUUGUCUUUAUAAUCAGUCCACUGGAGUUCAAGUCCCAGCUCUUAACACAAAAUUCUGUUGUCUGGACAUGUGGUUUCUCCAGCUGUGGACUGGGGAUGAUAAUCUCAUCUUGCAGUCUUACUAUGAGGAUUAAAAUGUGUGUCAGUACUAAAAGAAGUUAGCCCUUAAUGGGAUCUGCAUAGCAUCAUAUCAUUAUCUAAAGCUAUUAGGAAGUUCUUACAUCCAUAAACUUGAGUACCCCUCAAAAAGUGCUCUGCUGAGGACCCCUGCUCCAUACCUAGAGACUGAAGGACACUCUCCUAUUGUGGUUUUGGGGGAAGAGAAUGGUUAAGAGGAGCCCAUUUGAAAUGGGAAGGCCUGCCUGCCCUCUUGAAGUAACUAUUCUAAGUUGCAUGUAAAAUGUUCCCAUGAUCAAAAUCCAAAUCACUGAACACUGGAUUCCUGCUACUCUUCAUAUUUGUCAUCCUCUGAAGGCUUGGUCAUGGCUAUAAUUUUGUUACUUACCUCUCUAUAUACAUAUAUUUCACAUUCACACACACACAGAGAAAACAUACAACAUCUAGCAAUGGAAGAAUCUGCUUGAAAGGUUUGUGAGUGUUCAUUGUAAUGUCUCUCAAAUGCAUUGGUAGGUUUGAACUCCCAUAUAUACAUUUAUAUAUAUAUAUGUUGUAGUUGGACACAAUACCUUUAUUUUGUUUAUUUAUUUUUAUGUGGUGCUGAGGAUCAAACCCAGUGCCUCACAUGUUCUAGGUAAGUGCCCUACUGCUGAGCCACAACCCCAGUCCAGUUUAAACUCCUUUUUAUCAAAAAGUUUUAUUAAAAAUUAUUCCCAACUGCCACCUGGCAUGCAUGAAACAUAGAAGUAGAAAUAAAUAUGAAACAAAUUCCUAGACAAAAUCACUGGAUAAUAUCAUCAUAGUCUUGGGAUAACCAAAAUUUCUUAAGCAUGGACAUGCAAGGAAACUAAAGGAAAAAUGAUACUUUGAGCUAUAAUAAAAUUAAGAACUUCUAUUUAGCAAAAGAUACCAUUAAGGGGAGUAGAAAGAUAAGUCACAGAGUAGGAGAAGAUAAAUUUGCAUUCUCAUAUGGGAUUUUUAUUCACAAAACAUAAACAAUAUCUACAAAUCAAGACAGCCUAUGAGAAAAUGGGCAAGAGACUUGAACAGGUACCUCACACACAUAAAAGGGAUUAUGCAGGGCUGAGAAUGUAGCUCAGUGAUAGAGCUCUUGCCUAGUAUGCACAAAGCCCUGUGUCUGAUCCUGGACAAAACAUACACACAUGUAAUGUAAUGAUUAGCCAAAGUAUGAAUAUUUGCUCAAAUUAAUUAUUCUUCAAGAAAACAAAAAUUAGGGUUCAAUCCCCAGCACCACAGAAAGAAAGAAAGAAAGAAAGAACAAAAGAAAGCAAGCAAGCAAAAAUUAAAUCUCAGGGAAAUACUACUACCUUCCCAUCACAAGGGCCAACACUUAAAAACAAACAAUAUAAAAUGCUAGUGAGGGCUGGGGAUGUGGCUCAAGCGGUAACAAGUUAGCCUGGCACGCGCUGGGUGCUGGGUUCGAUCCUCAGCACCACAUAAAAAUAAAGAUGUUGUGUCCACCAAAAACUAAAAAUAAAUAAAUAAAUAUUUAAAAAUUGCCUCUCUCUCUCUCUUUAAAAAAAAUAAAAAAAUAAAAUGCUAGUGAAUCUGUGGAGCAAUUAGAAUUCAUAAACUUUUCCAAUAGUAUAAAUUGGUACCAACAUUUUAGGAAACCAUUUGGCAAUAUCAAAGUUAAAAUUAUGUAUACCCUAUGACCAAAUACAUCCAUUCUAAGGCACCAAAUAAAUAUUCAUACCUUUGUUAAUUAAAGACAACAACACCCAAAAUAGCAUCAUUCAUGACAGUCAAAAAACUACAAACAAUGCCAAUAUCCAUUAACAGUAGAAGGCAUUAAUAAAUGGCAGCUCACUGAUCAAACAGUGUGGUUCAGUCAUGAGCUUGAACGAAUGACUGCUGCACACACCACCAAGGAUUUAACGUUGAGCAAAAGAAGGCAGACAGACAAAAAAUGCACACCAUGGGCUUCCACGUUUAUAAGCUCAAAUCCAGGCAAAAAGAAUGAUGACGAUAGAAGUUAGAGGACUGGAUGCCUUUGGGGAUUAGUGACAGGGAGGAGGCAUGAGGAAAGCUUCCAUGUACUGAGCAUGUUCUGUGUUCUCAUCUAUGUGCUGGUUAUAUGAAUAUAUUCACUUGGUGAAAAUGCAUUUAACCUCACAUUUAGGGCUUGUAUUUUGUUUCAACAAAAAGAUUGCUAAACUCGAAGUGAAACAAAACCAAAAUCUANAUGCCAAUGGCAUUAGCCGCCAAAUUGAGGUAGAUCCCCUUAAGAUGGCUAAGAGCAUCAAUGCUAUUUGAUGUCAGAUUAUUGUGACUUAAGUCUACCUGACUCAUUUUAUCAAGGCUGUGGAAAGCCUGCUGGUCUAUGGACAAGAGGUCACUGGAGGAUAAAACCAGAAUCUCCAAGCUUCCCACUGUCUGAAGUAGGUUGUUCUUCGGGAUACUCCCAUCUUGAAAACGAUUCCCCUGCAAGUUCAGAUGCCGAAGGUCUGGCAGACCUGCUAGAAGAAGCUGAUUGCUGGUAUCAAGGAAGCUAUGAGAGAGAUUCAGAAUCUUCAGGUGAUGAAGGUUUUGGAAAGGACUUUGUGGUGCACUCACAUGUAAGUGGGUAAAUGACAAAUCCAAGAUCUCUAGCUGAGGACAUGCUUGGAACGCCUCCCUCUGAAAACCAAUGAGCUCAUUGUAGCUCAGGUUUAGACUUUGCAAGUGGGGAAGAUUUUUGAGCUGCAGAUUGCAGCAAUCAGAAGCUUCUAUGCCGCUAUGGCUUAAAUCAAGUUUCUGAAGAUUCUCUAGUUUUUCUAAACAGCCAGUACCGAGGUGAAGCUUCUUCAUGUUGCCUUUGAUAUAGAGGUGUGUAAGGGAGGGGAAAUUGGCAGCAUUGAUUUGACACAAUUGGUCAAAUUUAUUUACAUUGAGAACUAAUUUCUUGAGUGAGUUCAUACCCUCAAUCCCAGAGGGUAAUUCUUGCAGGUGAGUGGCCGUUAGAUCCAGAUUCUGGAGUUGGGCAAAGCAUCGAAACGUGGUGGAGGAGAAGUCAGAGAAAUGAUGCUUUUGCAGGUUGAUGCUCUCAACAGAUGUGUCACAAAGACCCUGAAAUGUGGCUGAACUUAGAUAUUGGUUAUCAAUGUCCUCAAAUGUCCCCAACCAGAGAGAUUGAAUAGUAGAGUUCCGUAGACCACUGAAUAUGACAGACAAGUCACGAGUCCCUCCAAAGUUCAAGCUUUGGAAGAAUUGUGAACUGAAAGCCCCAGGCUCAAUACCUUUAAUGUCAUUGCUAUUGAAGUUAAGACUUAGGUUGGUGGCCUGCUUCAGAGAGUUCAUAUCUUCUCUAGAAAGGUAGUGUAUAGCAUUAUUCUGAAAAUCCAGGACUUUCAGAUUCCCUGCUGGGAAAUCAUUUGGGAGCUUAAUGGAAGAAAUAUGGUUGCUCCCCAGAUGCAAACUUUCCAAGUUUUCCAGAUUGUGAGGUGGGAUAAACUCAAGACUGGAUAUUCCUGUUUGAAUUAAGAACAAAUGCUUCAGCGACUUGGGCCCGUUAAAUGCUGUUUCUGCCAUGAAUAUCAGAGGGUUUCCAGUUAAUAUCAGUGUGCUCAAC
Molecule: long non-coding RNA, 12664 nt
Filed under: Marmota monax (woodchuck)
Lineage: Eukaryota; Metazoa; Chordata; Mammalia; Rodentia; Sciuridae
Source: RNAcentral